GCCUUGGUUAUAACACCAAGAAUGAUCAGAUAUACAACUUACAAUAUAGAACAUAAAGAAUGAUCAGAUUAUGAUAUACAACUUAAACUGAAGUUUAAAAGAGGAGACUUUACCUUGUAUUUUCUGCAGGUGAAGAACCGCUUCCCAGGAAGAGUGUCGUAGUCCUCCUUCCCGCGCACCUCGUUAAUGAGUCUCUCACCACACGGACACCUUUUAGGAAUACCGUACUCAGAAUCCGCCACGAAACUUAACAUGUUGAUGUGUUUGUGUUGCUUCUUUGAAUGUCUUCUAUCUUCUUCCGGAUCCAUCUGUCAAAUAAAUCAAGAUUUUGUCAAAUAAUUACUCGUAAACCACAAUCACGAUCUACAACCCUAAACCCAUCACUCGAUUUAACCCAUAAAACGAAACCCAUCACUCAAUUUAUAAACCCAUCACUCACCCAUAAAACGAAACCCUAAUUGGAUUUCAAAUCUCAGAAAAAAGAACCCUAAAUCAAAAAACAAUCACGAUCUACAACCCUU
RNAcentral lists this long non-coding RNA (521 nucleotides) under Brassica napus (rape). RNAcentral describes it as "long non-coding RNA (BNAP_LNC022545)". The record is from RNAcentral. Lineage: Eukaryota; Viridiplantae; Streptophyta; Magnoliopsida; Brassicales; Brassicaceae.